RNAcentral lists this ribosomal RNA (253 nucleotides) under uncultured bacterium. RNAcentral describes it as "partial 16S ribosomal RNA". It matches the Rfam family "Bacterial small subunit ribosomal RNA", at positions 524 to 776 of the family's 1533-position model. The record is from RNAcentral.
UACGAAGGGGGCUAGCGUUGCUCGGAAUCACUGGGCGUAAAGCGCACGUAGGCGGAUCGAUCAGUCAGGGGUGAAAUCCCAGGGCUCAACCCUGGAACUGCCUUUGAUACUGUCGAUCUGGAGUAUGGAAGAGGUGAGUGGAAUUCCGAGUGUAGAGGUGAAAUUCGUAGAUAUUCGGAGCAACACCAGUGGCGAAGGCGGCUCACUGGUCCAUUACUGACGCUGAGGUGCGAAAGCGUGGGGAGCAAACAGG